RNAcentral lists this long non-coding RNA (907 nucleotides) under Nicotiana benthamiana. RNAcentral describes it as "long non-coding RNA (NBEN_LNC023551)". Lineage: Eukaryota; Viridiplantae; Streptophyta; Magnoliopsida; Solanales; Solanaceae. The record is from RNAcentral.
CUUUAGAGCUUCAGCACGCUGUGCUAGUUCAUCACACUCUGCCUGGCUCCCAAAGGCAAAGAGGAGUCAGGGGUCAAUCCAAAUUGGCAAAGAAACAAGAAAAGAAAUAUCAGUACCUGCUUGCGUAACCUAGUCAUGGGUCAAUCCAAAUUGGCAAAGAAACAAGAAUUGAAAUAUCAGUACCUGCUUGCGUAACCUAGACCUACGCGCAGAUUCCCUGUUGGACUGCUUUCGUCUCUGCCUCUUAAGCUCCCUUUCAUCCUAUAUUCAAGGGAAGUAAAUGUUCUAGGUUACUAAUGACUAAGUUACAAAUAGAGCAAAGGAAAAUAAAGGGUGACGUGUCCGCAGUUAGAAAAAGUAGAAGAGGACAUCUGAAGAGCAUGGAGAUUAUGGUGUUCAAUGCUGAGUACCCAGCAAGGCUGCAAUACCCAGGCAAAUAUCUGUAGCAUUAGUAAAGUCUAUAUGUGUGAGAACAAAUUAAAAGAGCUCUACCAGUAAUCCUAUGACGGCUAUAGUGAACACUAAUUCAUACAGCUCCCAUGUAACUAAAAUACAUGCUCUUAAAUUGGGUGUUCAGUAUGCACAUAUAAAAGUACGCUACUAUCUGCAAUAUUUAUAUCUAUCACCACAGCCUUGUUUAUAUAAUGGAACACACAGAAUAGAUCUGCCACAUGUUAAGUUAAAGCUGCAAAAGAGAAAAAAUUAAUAAGACAGAAGAAGCUACCUGAAAGUAAAUGUUCCAGGUUACUAAUAACUAAGUUACAAAUAGAGCAAAGGAAAAUAAAGGGUGACACGUCCGCAAUUAGAAAAAGAAGAAGAGAACAUCUGAAGAGUGAAAAAAAUGGACAUUGAGCCUAACUCAACCCCAAAAGCUAGCUUAUGAGGUGAGGAUUGCCCAAGCCANNNN